Molecule: long non-coding RNA, 583 nt
Filed under: Ricinus communis (castor bean)
Lineage: Eukaryota; Viridiplantae; Streptophyta; Magnoliopsida; Malpighiales; Euphorbiaceae
Description: long non-coding RNA (RCOM_LNC000065)
Source: RNAcentral
AAAGAACAUACUGGUCUCCCCUUAUUAAUUAGGAGUUUCAACGAACAAAAUAAGUUUAGAAUUCGAAACCAUACUAAUUACAUUCAAGAGCAGCAUUACAAAAACCUGAUUAGGUUGUAAAAAUACUGUUAAAGAAAAAGAUGAAAAUGUUUAUGACAGCAACAUUAUAUAUAGGAUCAUCACUGAAAAGCCAAGCACCGUACUAGUUCCUAUGGUCUUCUGUUCACCCGAUAUCCAGAUUUGAUUGUGUUACCCCAACUCGUCGAGUAUGAUCUUUGCACAAAUUGUACGACGCUUCUCCUUUAGCAACCAAACUAAAAAGAAUGAGCGAAAGAUGAUGAAUCCAACUAAGGGUGGAACAAAUGAAAUCUAUUUGCGGACACAACCUCCAUAAAACUAGAAAGAACAACCACUAGGACGAAAAGGAAGAAAGCUUUUAAGAAGAAAUGAAAAGGGAGGGGCUGCCAUCAGACACCAAUGACAGCCAUGGGAGCUAAGUUUUGAAAAGGGCAGUGUUGGAGAGAAAAAGUUGGAGCAAAGAGUUUAUAUACAUCAUAGGACUUAAUUAUUAUAACAUAAGUUU